Molecule: ribosomal RNA, 622 nt
Filed under: bacterium CC33
Lineage: Bacteria
Description: bacterial SSU rRNA
Rfam family: Bacterial small subunit ribosomal RNA
Source: RNAcentral
UCCCUACGGGNGGNNAGCAGUGGGGGAAUAUUGGACAAUGGGCGGGAAGCCUGAUCCAGCCAUGCCGCGUGUGUGAAGAAGGCCUUAUGGUUGUAAAGCACUUUAAGCGAGGAGGAGGCUACUUUAGUUAAUACCUAGAGAUAGUGGACGUUACUCGCAGAAUAAGCACCGGCUAACUCUGUGCCAGCAGCCGCGGUAAUACAGAGGGUGCAAGCGUUAAUCGGAUUUACUGGGCGUAAAGCGCGCGUAGGCGGCUAAUUAAGUCAAAUGUGAAAUCCCCGAGCUUAACUUGGGAAUUGCAUUCGAUACUGGUUAGCUAGAGUGUGGGAGAGGAUGGUAGAAUUCCAGGUGUAGCGGUGAAAUGCGUAGAGAUCUGGAGGAAUACCGAUGGCGAAGGCAGCCAUCUGGCCUAACACUGACGCUGAGGUGCGAAAGCAUGGGGAGCAAACAGGAUUAGAUACCCUGGUAGUCCAUGCCGUAAACGAUGUCUACUAGCCGUUGGGGCCUUUGAGGCUUUAGUGGCGCAGCUAACGCGAUAAGUAGACCGCCUGGGGAGUACGGUUCGCAAGACUAAAACUCAAAUGAAUUGACGGGGGCCCGCACAAGCGGUGGAGCAUGUGUU